RNAcentral lists this ribosomal RNA (387 nucleotides) under uncultured bacterium. Its description in RNAcentral is "partial 16S ribosomal RNA". It matches the Rfam family "Bacterial small subunit ribosomal RNA", at positions 338 to 722 of the family's 1533-position model. The record is from RNAcentral.
UCUACGGGUGGCAGCAGUGAGGAAUAUUGGUCAAUGGCCGGAAGGCUGAACCAGCCAUGCCGCGUGAAGGUCAGUGCCCUAUGGGCGUUAAACUUCUUUUGUGCGGGAGCAAUAAUGGUCACGUGUGGCCAGACGAGAGUACCGUACGAAUAAGCAUCGGCUAACUCCGUGCCAGCAGCCGCGGUUAAACGGGGGGUGCAAGCGUUAUCCGGAUUUAUUGGGGUUAAAGGGUGCGUAGGGUGUGAGGUAAGUCAGCGGUGAAAUGCCCCCGCUUAACGGGGUGAAGUGCGAUUGAUACUGCCUUGCUGGAGUGCGGAUGCGGUGGGAGGAAUGUGUGGUGUAGCGGUGAAAUGCAUAGAGAUCACACAGAACACCGAUUGCGAAGGC